AUGAGAAGGGCCACUGCCCACCAGGUGGCGGUGACGGAGAGGCGCUCCCUGCAAGGCUCCUUGCUGCCGUCACCUGUGCUGGCAACCUGUUCUGCACUGGCUCAUGUCAGGCGAACAGCUGGGGCAGGGCAGAGAACAGACGGAACAGCUGUGCUGUGCCGGGCCAGGUGCGUGCAGGGCUCAGGGAAGCCUGGUGCGUGCAGGGCUCAGGGAAGCCUGGUGCGUGCAGGGCUCAGGGAAGCCUGGUGCGUGCAGGGCUCAGGGAAGCCUGGUGCGUGCAGGGCUCAGGGAAGCCUGGUGCGUGCAGGGCUCAGGGAAGCCUGGUGCGUGCAGGGCUCAGGGAAGCCUGGUGCGUGCAGGGCUCAGGGAAGCCUGGUGCGUGCAGGGCUCAGGGAAGCCUGGUGCGUGCAGGGCUCAGGGAAGCCUGGUGCGUGCAGGGCUCAGGGAAGCCUGGUGCCUCCAGGGCUCAGGGAAGCCUGGUGCGUGCAGGGCUCAGGGAAGCCUGGUGCGUGCAGGGCUCAGGGAAGCCUGGUGCGUGCAGGGCUCAGGGAAGCCUGGUGCGUGCAGGUCCCCUGCUGCUGUGAUGACGAGAGUGAGCUUACGCUUCCGGGAGCCCCCUUCACAGGUGUGAUUGUCUCGUGCCCUGGUCUUCUGUGCGUGCAGACGGGACAGUGUAAAUGCUCGGGCUGUGGGGCCGCUGUCUGUCCUGGUGGGGUCAGGUGGGCUCGGGCUGCGGGGCCGCUGUCUGUCCUGGUGGGGUCAGGUGGGCUCGGGCUGCAGGGCCACUGUCUGUCCUGGUGGGGUCAGGUGGGCUCGGGCUGUGGGGCCGCUGUCUGUCCUGGUGGGGUCAGGUGGGCUCGGGCUGCAGGGCCACUGUCUGUGCUGGUGGGGUCAGGUGGGCUCAGGCUGCGGGGCUGCUGUCUGUCCUGGUGGGGUCAGGUGGGCUCGGGCUGUGGGGCCGCUGUCUGUCCUGGUGGGGUCAGGUGGGCUCGGGCUGCGGGGCCGCUGUCUGUCCUGGUGGGGUCAGGUGAGCUUGGGCUGAGGGCCACUGUCUGUCCUGGUGGGGUCACGUGGGCUUGGAGCUGUGGGGCCACUGUCUGUGCUGGUGGGGUCAGGUGGGCUCGGGGCUGCGGGGCUGCUGUCUGUCCUGGUGGGGUCAGGUGGGCUCGGGCUGCAGGGCCGCUGUCUGUCCUGGUGGGGUCACGUGGAGUCACGUGGGCUCGGGCUGCGGGGCCACUGUCUGUCCUGGUGGGGUCAGGUGGGCUCGGGCUGCGGGGCCACUGUCUGUCCUGGUGGGGUCAGGUGGGUCGUGGUCACCCAGGAGCUGUGAGCCUGCUCAGCUUGCCAGGGCUGGGACUGAGCCAGGGCCCCCAGGUUCCCCUCCAGGGUCACAAGAAGCCUUUGGCCGUGGCUGCUGAUGUGGUGUGA
RNAcentral lists this long non-coding RNA (1428 nucleotides) under Oryctolagus cuniculus (rabbit). Its description in RNAcentral is "lncRNA (ENSOCUG00000034431.1)". The record is from RNAcentral. Lineage: Eukaryota; Metazoa; Chordata; Mammalia; Lagomorpha; Leporidae.